CCUACGGGGGGCUGCAGUGGGGAAUAUUGGGCAAUGGGCGCAAGCCUGACCCAGCAACGCCGCGUGAAGGAAGAAGGCUUUCGGGUUGUAAACUUCUUUUCUCAGGGACGAAGAAAGUGACGGUACCUGAGGAAUAAGCCACGGCUAACUACGUGCCAGCGCCCGCGGUAAUACGGAGGGGGCAAGCGUUAUCCGGAUUUAUGGGGUGUAAGGGGGGUGUAGGCGGAAGCGCAAGUCAGAUGUGAAAACUCAGGGCUCAACCCUGAGCCUGCAUUGGAAACUGUGUUUCUUGAGUGCUGGAGAGGCAAUCGGAAUUCCGGGUGUAGCGGUGAAAUGCGUAGAUAUACGGAGGAACACCAGUGGCGAAGGCGGAUUGCUGGACAGUAACUGACGCUGAGGCGCGAAAGCGUGGGGAGCAAACAGGAUUAGAUACCCUAGUAGUC
RNAcentral lists this ribosomal RNA (443 nucleotides) under uncultured bacterium. Its description in RNAcentral is "partial 16S ribosomal RNA". It matches the Rfam family "Bacterial small subunit ribosomal RNA", at positions 338 to 795 of the family's 1533-position model. The record is from RNAcentral.